This 75-nucleotide transfer RNA is filed under the name Vibrio variabilis. RNAcentral's name for it is "tRNA-Arg". It matches the Rfam family "tRNA". From Rfam's summary of the family: Transfer RNA (tRNA) molecules are approximately 80 nucleotides in length. Their secondary structure includes four short double-helical elements and three loops (D, anti-codon, and T loops). Further hydrogen bonds mediate the characteristic L-shaped molecular structure. tRNAs have two regions of fundamental functional importance: the anti-codon, which is responsible for specific mRNA codon recognition, and the 3' end, to which the tRNAs corresponding amino acid is attached (by aminoacyl-tRNA synthetases). tRNAs cope with the degeneracy of the genetic code in two manners: having more than one tRNA (with a specific anti-codon) for a particular amino acid; and 'wobble' base-pairing, i.e. permitting non-standard base-pairing at the 3rd anti-codon position. Lineage: Bacteria; Pseudomonadati; Pseudomonadota; Gammaproteobacteria; Vibrionales; Vibrionaceae. The record is from RNAcentral.
GCGCGCCUUAGCUCAGCUGGAUAGAGCACGUCCCUUCUAAGGAUGUGGUCGUAGGUUCGAAUCCUACAGGGCGUG